GAGCCACUCAAGAUGCUCAAAGAGCCAGUCUGGGCCAACAUGAGAGAGCCACUCAAGAUACUCAAAGGCAUCCAUUCAUUUGAACCUCUGAAGCGCAGCAGCAGCUAUGGAUUAC
Molecule: long non-coding RNA, 115 nt
Organism: Thunnus maccoyii (southern bluefin tuna)
Lineage: Eukaryota; Metazoa; Chordata; Actinopteri; Scombriformes; Scombridae
Exons: 4
Source: RefSeq, a predicted model, not a curated record